Molecule: long non-coding RNA, 2040 nt
Organism: Rhinopithecus bieti (black snub-nosed monkey)
Lineage: Eukaryota; Metazoa; Chordata; Mammalia; Primates; Cercopithecidae
Source: Ensembl
GCUCCCACCCCUCGAUUCUCGCUGGUUUUCCUCUCCCCACUUCACCUGAGCGGGUUUCUUGGCAACCUGCUUUUAGACCAUCCCCCACCGCUUCCCCGCGUCACCGUGACAGCUUCGCAGGAGGCAGCGCUCCCGCCGUCAGUGCCCCCGCACCUUCUUGUGCCUGGCAGGCUGGGAGGUCCGAGAGCACCCGAAUUGCUAGCAGGAGAGGGCUAGGGACACGGCGGACUUCCCAGAGAUCGGACACUUGUUGCUUGUUGAAAAGGCGCCACCUUCCCUGCCAAAGCGAAGGCGCAGCGAAACAGUCCAGAGAGGAUACUUUUCGACGGCGGUGGGUUCGAAGAUGACCCAAGCCCUGAAUCGUUCUGUGACUUGACGGAAGAGCGCCUCGCCGAGUCCGGGAAGGAAACUGCCUCUCUUGGGCAUUCGGGGUCCAGGGGCAUCUGGGGCUCCAGAGAUCUUUGCCCACGUGGAAAGGGCAACAUACUCCUCCGAAAGGCCGGCCUCUCUCCAGUUCUACUUUUCUCUCUCCUCGCAUAGCUUAGGCUCUCUCUAGUCUUUCCACUUUCUACUCUCACCCCUUGCUCUGGGGUCCAGACGCACCCCUCUGACUAGGGCACCCUUCAGCCAGCCGCACCGCCCGCGACGCAGGCACCACCCGCUCCCUCCUUCCCUCGGCCCGCUCCCUCACUUACCUCGGAUCGGGUCUCCGCAGACCCCAGGUUGGACAUUAACUUCAGGUGCCCCAAGUCCCAGCCAGGAGACCCAUCCGGGCUGAUGGCUGGAGCGCGGAGCCCCGCCCAACAGGUCAGGGGCAAGAGUUCGCAAUCCUGGGGUCGCGCGGGGCAGCAAGAGCGCCCUGGAGGCGGCAGCCAAGACUCCCGCCUCGGUCGCCGCGAACAGCGCGAGGGCUGCCGACAACUCUCUCGCCUGCCCCCCGCACCCCCAGAAGCCGAGGUCCGAGCAGCCGCCGCUGCUUUGGGUGGGGGGGAGGUGACAGGGCUGCGCACGCCGCGCUCUUGGCUGGGGCUGCGCGGGCCCGGGGCGCUGCGGGCUGCUCAGCUGCAGCUGCGGCGCUCUGCGCCUCCUCUGGGCGCACUGCCUGGGAGCACAAGACGGGCUUGUCUGAUGCUGCCGCGGGAGCUGAGGUCUUGCCUGGAGAUCCGAAUGAGACACCACGUCAACCGGCGCGGGGAGUCCCGUGAAGACAUGAGGGCGCCAGGAGCGCAGGCUGGUCUUUUAGAGCCCGGGCUGGGGGGCCGGGAGCCGGGGUGGGGGAGGGGAGGCGCAGGGCCCCCGGGAGGGAGGGGUCGGGAGGCGUCGGCUGGGCCGGGCUGUGUGGGAGGAGAGGCCAGCAGCGAGGAGGCGCUGGAGUUCCCGAGGCCGGGGUCCGGGGUGGGAGUGGGCUACGCAAGGCGCCCCUCCCUGGGCUGCAGGAAUAGCGCUGAGAGCGUGGAGACGCCGCGGGGCUUGCGCCUUCUCCUCCGGGUGGAUCAAAAAUCGGCAGGAAUGUGCGCCGCGCUGCGCUGGCUAGCCGAGGGGGGCAAUCCGAACUUGACCGCGGCGCCCGCGCAGGGCUUCGCCCCCGCGCGCCGCACUGGAUGGAAGGCGCUCUGCCGGUGCAGCGCCGCGCCGGGCUUUCCUCGCGCCUGUCGAAGGCCGGCCUUCCCGCUCGGUUGUCUCGUCCUCUCGCUUCUCCGCAGGGCAGGAGGCAGCGGCGAGAAAAGGAGCUGCUGGGCAGCUGGAGUUCUAGCACCGAGAAGGAGAGGCGCGGAGCGGCCGGCCACGUGUCUCCGAAAAGCCUUCCGGAAAGGCCACCCAGCCAGGCCUCACGAAAACUGGAUUGAAGUUCAGGAACUGGAAGGUCAUUCAGGAUACAGCUCUGUGACUGGGUUAUCUUGCUGCCCCCUCAGCAGCAGUCAUCUGCCGAUCCCUACUAACAGGCUUAGCCGCCAAGGUGAUUCAGCUCCUCUCUCGCUGUUUUUCCCUGGGUGUCCUUUGGCUUCUGCUCCUGCUACCAACUGCUCAGCUCUCAGUUGA